UUGGGUUUUUCCUCCGCGACAAUCAAUUUGGCUGUUUUUCACCAUUUCUGACGGACUAAAUCAAUGUGACAGGAGCACUCGCUCUCGCUUAGGUGGAAGAUUUUACACUGUCAGAGGAGGAUUUUUCUGCUCUCCUAGCAAACAAAAGAAAAGUGUCUGCCGACGAGGGCAGAGCGGGCGCAUGAAGUGUUAGAAAUCAGACAGCGGGGGACACCCAGGAUGACAGGAAGGACAGGAUUUAAGGAGAGGAGGAGUGCAGGUGGGAAUAAAGUGCUGUACAGAAGUGAACAUGAUGUGAUGAGAUCAUAAACUGUAGAAAUGUAAAUCGGACUCUCCUGAGGUUGAGACUUUCAGGCCCUGAGCGUUAAAAUGAAGGUCUGAUUGACAUGCUUCUGGUGUAACAGAGUGGAGGAUUAUGUUUUCACACCAACUCUGAGUAAACCUGGAAGGUUGAACUGAGAGUUAGUGUUGCAGGAAAACACAACACACACACACACACACACACACACACACACACACACACACACAGGAGUCACAAGUCUGUCUAGUGUUAUGAACGUUCAGAUCCAACACCUCACUCGUCCUGACUGCUCCGCCUCCCUGUGCCUGAAACGCUGAGCCCGGUCACGUCAGAGGCUAAAGUUACUGUUACCACGGUUACCAGGUCUUCACCAACUUCACCGUCCACCUUUUACUCCUGCACAUGCAGGGCGCUCUCUGCUCUUCGGUCAAAAAUCGAUGAUGUGAUGAAAACAGAGGAAGUAGGAAGUAAGAGGAUCAUGAUGGACUUUAUUUAUUUAAUGUUCAGAUGGAUCAGAGGAGACUCGGGGUCGACUGAACGUUCAUGGAAGUCCAGCUGCUGUUCAACCAUCCUCACUCUCCAUCAUAUACUUUAUUUUUGUAUCCAUCACAGGGCUUGACACUAACUAAGGAGUACUAUUAUUACUAUUAUUAGAAAUCAAUUUUAGGUCUUUUGGUCACAUGACAUGGAAGCUAUUGUGAGAACAGCCUUUUCUGAGAACAUCAACCGGUAAUUUAUUGACGGUCCCUUAUUCAACACCCGACGUUGACAGUGAGGGUGUCGAGUAGAUUUAACCGCGCUGCUGUUGUUAUUCCCGGUUAUGGAGAGUGAGAAGACAGCGGUAGAUCCUCAGAGAAUGUCCGUCAGAUAUCCAACCUGAAA
RNAcentral lists this long non-coding RNA (1183 nucleotides) under Xyrichtys novacula (pearly razorfish). Lineage: Eukaryota; Metazoa; Chordata; Actinopteri; Labriformes; Labridae. The record is from RNAcentral.